This 482-nucleotide ribosomal RNA is filed under the name uncultured bacterium. RNAcentral's name for it is "partial 16S ribosomal RNA". It matches the Rfam family "Bacterial small subunit ribosomal RNA", at positions 30 to 507 of the family's 1533-position model. The record is from RNAcentral.
AUUGAACGCUGGCGGCAUGCCUUACACAUGCCAGUCGAACGGUAACAGGUCUUCGGAUGCUGACGAGUGGCGAACGGGUGAGUAAUACAUCGGAACGUGCCCGAUCGUGGGGGAUAACGAGGCGAAAGCUUUGCUAAUACCGCAUACGAUCUACGGAUGAAAGCGGGGGAUCUUCGGACCUCGCGCGGACGGAGCGGCCGAUGGCAGAUUAUGUAGUUGGUGGGAUAAAAGCUUACCAAGCCGACGAUCUGUAGCUGGUCUGAGAGGAUGAUCAGCCACACUGGAACUGAGACACGGCCCAGACUACUACGGGAGGCAGCAGUGGGGAAUUUUGGACAAUGGGCGAAAGCCUGAUCCAGCAAUGCCGCGUGCAGGAUGAAGGCCUUCGGGUUGUAAACUGCUUUUGUACGGAACGAAAAGCCUCUUUCUAAUAAAGAGGGGUCAUGACGGUACCGUAAGAAUAAGCACCGGCUAACUACGUG